Gorilla gorilla gorilla (western lowland gorilla) is the source of this 2198-nucleotide long non-coding RNA. RefSeq lists it as uncharacterized. The record is from RefSeq and is a predicted model, not a curated record. The transcript has 4 exons. NCBI's taxonomy places the organism in Eukaryota, Metazoa, Chordata, Mammalia, Primates, Hominidae.
CUUAAUUUCCAGUUCCGCCUUGGGACGAGUCCCUGGCUGGGGGAACCGCAUCAGGCCUGACACCCAUCCCAUUCCGCCUUGGGACGAGGCCCUGGCUGGGGGAACCGCAUCAGGCCUGACACCCAUCCCAUUCCCCCCUAAACCCAGAACGAGAUCCAACCUCACUCCCCAGCCCCUUCCCCACCUCGCCGCUCAGGCUGUGAUGGAAAGGUCCCUGGGAGUGGGGAGGAGGGCAAUUUGAAACCCGGAGGGGAUCCUGUAGCCCAGUUCUCCUCGGUUCCCUAAACCUCCAGGAAAGCGGAGAAAGUCACAUUGUGGUGGCAGCAGCGGGUUUGUUUUUUUUAAUCUGUUAAUAAAACGCAAGUGAAUCAAAUCCGCCCUAAGGGAAGGGGGGGGCGCGGCGAGGCAGAGGCCAUGGUGUUUGCAGAAGUUGGAAAUUUAAUAAGAAGGAAAAAUAAAAAUAGCCACUGUGCUGGAGAGAGAGAGAGAGAGAAGGUUGGGAGAAGCAGGCAAGUGUGGGACUCCUGGCUGGGUGGAAACGUGCAGAGGGGGCUGGGGAAGGCGAGGGCACCACUAGUCCGGAGGAGCAAGGGAGACACUGCUGGGGAUACCAGGAGGGGAGUCUUUGGGGUGUCACCAGAACAGUCCAGUUCCUUGGCAGAUUUUUCACCAGCAGUGAGCUGGGCACAGAGGUUGGGGUUUGGUCCUCUAAACACCUGGGUGUAGAGGUCCAGCCUCUGGUUACUUGGUCUUCACAGCGCCCCCCACCUUCUGAGCUACUCAAGAGAUGGGGGACAGUAGCAGUACUGCCAAGAACAGUUGUGCAAGUUGCGCACUGCACAAGCAUACCAGACAGAGAGGCUAGAGCAGAAGCUAACAUCAUCUGUUCCCCUCACCACACAUUGCAUCUGCCCAGAGGAAGAGGUGCCGUGCUGGGCAGUGAAUGAAUGAACCUUGCCCUGGGGUUAACACUCCAGUGGGAUGAACAGACAAACCCCACAAGCACUGCAUACGAGCUAUCAGCUUCCCAGUUUGCACAAUUCAUCAAGAAAUAAUGCGGGGCCACUGGCACAAAUGAUGAGGCAUCUCCCGGAAGCUUAACUUCCUAUCCAUCCCAUUUCUUGGACAGACGAUGCCAGUUAAUUACUUUGAAUGUUAUUUCCCCUAAGAUCCAGAUGAGUACACAUUAGAUGAAAUUCCAGAAGUUAUCUUCAAAUUUUGCUACUCAUUGAAUGUCAUGAAGAUCCUGGAAACAAAAGAAAAAAACAAGAAACAACCUUGCUACUCAACAGGGGAUUGAUAUUAUCACAUUUGAGAGAACUUCAGAAUCUCAGGCCUAAACCCAGGCCUACUAAAUUAGGAUCUGCAGUUUCUCACAAUCUUCAGGUGAUUUCUAUGGUCAUGAAAGUUUGAAAAGCUGCCUUGAAACAGUCCUUCCUAAAACUGAAGUGGAGGUGCAGCAAAAAUCAUCUGGUAAAUUGUUAAAAGUAAUCUCAAAUGCAACCCAAAUUUACAGAAUCCCAGGUGAAGCUCAGUAGUCUGUAUUUUUAUCCUUCUCCCCAAAUAAUUCUGAUGUGCAGGCAAGUUUGAAAACCACUGCGUUCAAGAAAAUGGAUACUCCCCUUACCAAGUGGAAAGUAGGAUUUUGGAAACUCACGCAAGGGAAGCAAAAAGAUGGCUCAGGAGGCAUGAUUACAACAGGAUUGAUGCAAACGGAAGCCGAAGCUUAACCACAGACAUUAAUAUACGCCUACAAAAGAAAAUGCUAAGGAAGUCAAGUGGUCUGCAGGAAUUCUGAAGAAAAAUGGAGAACCAAAGACCAAAAUUUGUCAAUGAAUUUCCAGCACAGCCCCAGGUUAAGGGAGUGAAUUUCUUGACUGAAUGACACAGACUCUGGACCACCUGAUCGGUUAUUACCUUAAUGGAGGAAUUAUAUUACAAUGUAUAGGUACUUUAAUUAGAAUGACCUGGCAGUUACUGAGGCAAAAUUUUCUGUUCCUUUGUAUUCUGUAAUACAAGAAGGAUCUACAUGGAUGUUCUCUUCUCUGAACUGUUUGGAUGAACUGGUCAACGGCACUCAUCAUGCCUUGGGUUUUAAAUCUGCAUUGUGGUCAUAAUCUGUUAUUUAAUUAAUUUCUCAUAUUUUUAAUAAAAAGUUUGCCUAUAUAUUUUAGACAGAAAUUACCUUACUUUGCUGA